AAGAAGGUGGCAGAUAAGUAUGUAUUUAACUUGAAAUUAAACUAUGGGGGUUCGAUUCCUCCCUUUCUUG
Molecule: transfer RNA, 70 nt
Filed under: Hemidactylium scutatum (four-toed salamander)
Lineage: Eukaryota; Metazoa; Chordata; Amphibia; Caudata; Plethodontidae
Description: tRNA-Ser
Rfam family: tRNA
About the family: Transfer RNA (tRNA) molecules are approximately 80 nucleotides in length. Their secondary structure includes four short double-helical elements and three loops (D, anti-codon, and T loops). Further hydrogen bonds mediate the characteristic L-shaped molecular structure. tRNAs have two regions of fundamental functional importance: the anti-codon, which is responsible for specific mRNA codon recognition, and the 3' end, to which the tRNAs corresponding amino acid is attached (by aminoacyl-tRNA synthetases). tRNAs cope with the degeneracy of the genetic code in two manners: having more than one tRNA (with a specific anti-codon) for a particular amino acid; and 'wobble' base-pairing, i.e. permitting non-standard base-pairing at the 3rd anti-codon position.
Source: RNAcentral